This 560-nucleotide long non-coding RNA is filed under the name Brassica rapa (field mustard). RNAcentral describes it as "long non-coding RNA (BRAP_LNC003181)". Lineage: Eukaryota; Viridiplantae; Streptophyta; Magnoliopsida; Brassicales; Brassicaceae. The record is from RNAcentral.
AGAACAUUACAAAAAAAAAAAGAACGAAAUAAUUUUCUUUAAAAAUAAGAAUAAAAAUCGGUGUGAAUAAAAAAGGGACCCCACAGAGAAACUUCAACCCAUGCAAAGGGUCCAUGGACGAGAGAACAAUAAUGACGUGAAUCACCUGUAAUUGUAUACCUCCAAUCAUUUGCAAACCCCAUAAAUAUAAAUCCUAAAAGCUUUCAUUUCAUUUUUGUAAAAAAACGCGAAUCAUAUAAAAAAAGAAAAAUAAAAACCCUUAAAAGACGGUCUUCACUUUUUGCAUAUUUCAACGCAAUUGCUAGAAAUUUUUACUCUGUUUUCCUUUUUCUAUUUGUUUAUUUUUUUUUCUCAUUGUUAUUUUUUUUUUCUUACCCUCCCAAACCAUUUGAAAACCCCGAGAAAUAGAGAAACACACACCUCUUUUUUCUCCUCUGCUUCACCGAUGAGCUAAUUAGAAAUUAACAAAAGCUGAAAUCAUCAUUUUUAGCAGUUUCAAAAUCAGUUUCAAAAAUCAAAACCAAACCCAUUUCAGUUUCAAGCUUCUUGGUCCUCUUCAG